Molecule: ribosomal RNA, 200 nt
Filed under: uncultured bacterium
Lineage: Bacteria
Description: partial 16S ribosomal RNA
Rfam family: Bacterial small subunit ribosomal RNA
Source: RNAcentral
AUUGAACGCUGGCGGAAUGCUUUACACAUGCAAGUCGAACGAUGAUUUCUAGCUUGCUAGAAUGAUUAGUGGCGAACGGGUGAGUAAUGUAUCGGAACGUAUCCAAUAAUGGGGGAUAACUAAUCGAAAGGUCGGCUAAUACCGCAUACGCCCUACGGGGGAAAGGGGGGGAUCUUCGGACCUCUCGCUAUCAGAUGAGC